Molecule: long non-coding RNA, 921 nt
Organism: Anguilla rostrata (American eel)
Lineage: Eukaryota; Metazoa; Chordata; Actinopteri; Anguilliformes; Anguillidae
Exons: 3
Source: RefSeq, a predicted model, not a curated record
AACAAUAAACCUUGGCUUUCGCAUCAGAGCUGAAAGAGUCGUUUUACAUUAAACACAGCUAGGCUAUUACCGAUUAGAUUUCCCUUGCAAAUAUGCACGCCUGUAGGCUACUUGUGGGAACAUGAUAUCAACUGCGAAAUCAAACGUGCAACGAAAUUUCCACAUUGUGCUUUUAAGCACCAUCAAGCAUAUGGCAUGCCUGACCAUCCACGUCUUUAAGAUACGCAAGUUAAUGAACUCUUAAUUCACUUGUCAAUGUUACAGGCAUGUACAAACAUCAUACAGCUAUUCGAACGCUAUUCCGAUUUCUGUGGAGGGGGGCCUGUCCAGGGGGAACGCUUGAUAAAUAUUUCCCUCGAAUUAGUAGUAGGCUAAUCAUAUCCUCCAAAUUACUUAAAUCGUUCCCUCGAAUUAGUCAUUCACUCGCUGAAAUUAUUCGCAUUCCCAACAUAAAACGAAAUUUAGCUAUCAUACCACAGGUAACAAAGAAACUGACAAACAGUCUACAGCUAUCGCUAUCUCGGUAACUUUACUUGGGCAACUUUCAGUACGUUUCAUUAGUUAGCCUUGUAUUUGAGUGUAGGCUACGUCUCAAAAAACAUUUGUUCACCUUCCGUUAAUAGGCUUGCCAUGGGAAAUUUCAAGCUUGCCACGGGAAAUUUGAAGUCCAAGAAGGAAACUUACCUGUAAAACGAAGUACAAAACACACGGUUGCCAGGAGAAACAUGCUGAACGAGCACAAAGAAAUAUCUCAUGGACGUCGGAUCCAAUGGCACCAAGUAUAAACAAACGUACGAAGGUUAGGAAUUGCACUUAAAAUAAAGUAUUUGGAGAACAACGUAGGCUAUAGUCAUGUACAUAAAUAUAAACUGCUUGAAAACGCAGCAAAUGAUACAAAUGGUUUACAAAAAAAAAGAAAAA